This 1773-nucleotide ribosomal RNA is filed under the name Triticum aestivum (bread wheat). Its description in RNAcentral is "partial small subunit ribosomal RNA". Lineage: Eukaryota; Viridiplantae; Streptophyta; Magnoliopsida; Poales; Poaceae. The record is from RNAcentral.
AUGGCCGCCACUGCCUCAGAGCCGCCCAUGGUGGAGCAAGUGAUCACCGAGUUCUUUGCCAAGAGCCUCCACAUCAUCCUGGAGUCCCGCUCGCCCUAUGAAUCAUCACGCAGCUUCACGCGGCCUUCACCGCCAUCUUCGCCGCUCUCUGGCAGCCAGCCACGGGACAGGUGGUUCAACCUUGCCCUCCGGGACUGCCCAGCUGCACUUGAGAACUUUGACCUGUGGAGACAGAGCAAUCUUGAGCCACUGGUUAUUGAUAUUGUGAUGCUCCGGCGUGACAAUCCCAACACCACCUGUGCUGAGGGCGGCAAGAUCAUAGAGAGGUGGGUGAUACAGUAUGAAACCAGCAAGCCUGGCAGUGGCAAUGGUAAUGGCAGCAAGAACCACAGCAGGAAGUCUAGGAACAGCCCGGCUGAGGAUCAUAGCUUGUACAGGAGUACAUACAAGGGCUCAACAGUGUUAUUUCGGUCAUUGCAUCUGGUUGUCAGGCUCUUGCCAGCUUACAAUCUCUUCAGGGAGUUGAAUUCAUCUGGGAGAAUCCGUCCACUUAACCUGUCACACAAGAUAUCAUCAUUCGUCGAGCCGUUUACUAGGGCAGAGGAUGCAGAGAUGAAGCACUAUGCAUUUGCUCCAAUUGAAACUCUGUUUGGCCGCCUGAGCUUGUCAGUUUCUUAUGUGCCAGUGCUGGAGGUGGUGGCAGCACCAGAGCCAACCACACACAUGUCAACAGAGCUUAUAAUGGAUUAUGUCGGGAGCCCCACAACAGACUUUCUCAGGACGUUCAAUUCCCUGCCUUCAGAUGGCAUUGCACCUGAUUGUGCUGCAAUGACUAGGCGUCACAGUUGGAGUAUUGACCCUGGAGCUAGACCAUCGGUAUCACCAUCUCCUCUUUUGCAUGAUAGUCCUCUAACACGUUUGCAUCCACAUAGCACAAUAUCCUCUGUGAAGAAAAAAAGUACAGGAUUUGAAGACUGCUAUCCAUCACCACCGUUGUCACCAUCGCCAUCCCGUUCCCCUUCUGCUAGCUACCCAAAAAAUUCUUUGUUCCGAUAUGAGAGUGCUCCUGUGGUCAUUCCCACUGGGAGGGAUGGUGGAGGUAGUGGACUGCCUCCUUCUCCAUCUUUCAAGGGUAAAUACCAGCUCCCAUCUCAAAACUACAACCUAACCCCAUCGCCUGAUGGAAAUUCAAAUGUAAGGAAGGAUUUGGUCAGGUUUGGUGAAUUUGAGAAUAAUGCGGCCAUGCAAAAGGCGCUAUCUUUUGAUAAAUAUGAUUUGGGAUAUUUUCAUGGACUGAAGUUGACAAGGACUGCAAGCAAACUUUUCAUCACGGAUGAACUGGAUGAGCGGGAGUUGGCAUUUGCAUGGGAAGAUAGAGAUAUCAUUAUUGAUCAACUUAACAGGGUUGGUAUCUCGGAUAGGGAGGGCCAAGAGACAAACCAGGAUGCUGGAGGCUCGAUGACAAGGACUCCGGCUGCAGCCAUCGGCGCUCUUGUGCGCAUGCUCAAGACGGCCCCGGGCCUCAGGGCAAGCCGCCCAUCAAUCGAAGCUCCUCCCCCAGUUCCUCAAGAAUCUUCGGUUCAGAGGGUCAUGACCGAGGAACACGGCGACGCCACAUCGAGUUCUGGUUUGCUCGAAUCAAAGACGGCAGCAGAUGCGCUGGAGGAGCUAAAGAAAUACAAGGCUAUCAGAGAAUCGAUACUGGACCGCGCGAAGGCGCUGCCCAGGGAUGAUGCCAAAACUGGGGAGAAACCCGCCGAUGGGGAUCCUUAG